This 450-nucleotide ribosomal RNA is filed under the name uncultured bacterium. RNAcentral's name for it is "partial 16S ribosomal RNA". It matches the Rfam family "Bacterial small subunit ribosomal RNA", at positions 354 to 796 of the family's 1533-position model. The record is from RNAcentral.
GUGGGGAAUAUUGCACAAUGGGCGCAAGCCUGAUGCAGCCAUGCCGCGUGUAUGAAGAAGGCCUUCGGGUUGUAAAGUACUUUCAGCGGGGAGGAAGGGAGUAAAGUUAAUACCUUUGCUCAUUGACGUUACCCGCAGAAGAAGCACCGGCUAACUCCGUGCCAGCAGCCGCGGUAAUACGGAGGGUGCAAGCGUUAAUCGGAAUUACUGGGCGUAAAGCGCACGCAGGCGGUUUGUUAAGUCAGAUGUGAAAUCCCCGGGCUCAACCUGGGAACUGCAUCUGAUACUGGCAAGCUUGAGUCUCGUAGAGGGGGGUAGAAUUCCAGGUGUAGCGGUGAAAUGCGUAGAGAUCUGGAGGAAUACCGGUGGCGAAGGCGGCCCCCUGGACGAAGACUGACGCUCAGGUGCGAAAGCGUGGGGAGCAAACAGGAUUAGAAACCCGUGUAGUCC